CUUGCUACACCAUAGACUGUGAGUUGCGAACGGGUGAGUAACGCGUAGGUAACCUGCCUAUUAGAGGGGGAUAACUAUUGGAAACGAUAGCUAAUACCGCAUAACAGUAUGUAACACAUGUUAGAUGCUUGAAAGAUGCAAUUGCAUCGCUAGUAGAUGGACCUGCGUUGUAUUAGCUAGUAGGUAGGGUAAAGGCCUACCUAGGCAACGAUACAUAGCCGACCUGAGAGGGUGAUCGGCCACACUGGGACUGAGACACGGCCCAGACUCCUACGGGAGGCAGCAGUAGGGAAUCUUCGGCAAUGGGGGGAACCCUGACCGAGCAACGCCGCGUGAGUGAAGAAGGUUUUCGGAUCGUAAAGCUCUGUUGUUAAGGAAGAACGAGUGUGAGAAUGGAAAGUUCGUACUGUGACGGUACUUAACCAGAAAGGGACGGCUAACUACGUGCCAGCAGCCGCGGUAGUACGUAGGUCCCGAGCGUUGUCCGGAUUUAUUGGGCGUAAAGCGAGCGCAGGCGGUUAGAAAAGUCUGAAGUGAAAGGCAGUGGCUCAACCAUUGUAGGCUUUGGAAACUGUUUAACUUGAGUGCAGAAGGGGAGAGUGGAAUUCCAUGUGUAGCGGUGAAAUGCGUAGAUAUAUGGAGGAACACCGGUGGCGAAAGCGGCUCUCUGGUCUGUAACUGACGCUGAGGCUCGAAAGCGUGGGGAGCGAACAGGAUUAGAUACCCUGGUAGUCCACGCCGUAAACGAUGAGUGCUAGGUGUUAGGUCCUUUCCGGGACUUA
RNAcentral lists this ribosomal RNA (782 nucleotides) under uncultured Streptococcaceae bacterium. Its description in RNAcentral is "bacterial SSU rRNA". It matches the Rfam family "Bacterial small subunit ribosomal RNA", at positions 74 to 842 of the family's 1533-position model. The record is from RNAcentral. Lineage: Bacteria; Bacillati; Bacillota; Bacilli; Lactobacillales; Streptococcaceae.